RNAcentral lists this microRNA (21 nucleotides) under Prunus persica (peach). RNAcentral's name for it is "ppe-miR398b". Its record names the gene ppe-miR398b. Lineage: Eukaryota; Viridiplantae; Streptophyta; Magnoliopsida; Rosales; Rosaceae. The record is from miRBase by way of RNAcentral. RNAcentral also lists the same sequence under 2 other names.
CGUGUUCUCAGGUCGCCCCUG